UACGGAGGGGACUAGCGUUGUUCGGAAUUACUGGGCGUAAAGCGCACGUAGGCGGAUUUGUAAGUCAGGGGUGAAAUCCCGGGGCUCAACCUCGGAACUGCCUUUGAUACUGCAAAUCUCGAGUCCGGAAGAGGUGAGUGGAAUUCCUAGUGUAGAGGUGAAAUUCGUAGAUAUUAGGAAGAAAACCAGUGGCGAAGGCGGCUCACUGGUCCGGUACUGACGCUGAGGCGCGAAAGCGUGGGGAGCAAACAGG
RNAcentral lists this ribosomal RNA (253 nucleotides) under uncultured bacterium. RNAcentral's name for it is "partial 16S ribosomal RNA". It matches the Rfam family "Bacterial small subunit ribosomal RNA", at positions 524 to 776 of the family's 1533-position model. The record is from RNAcentral.